UAACAUAUGCUUGUCUCAAAGAUUAAGCCAUGCAUGUCUAAGUAUAAACAACUUUAUACUGUGAAACUGCGUACAGCUCAUUAAAUCAGUCAUUAUUCAUUUGAUGGUUUCUUACUACACAUGGAUACCCGUAGUAAUUCUAGAGCUAAUACAUGCAAAAAAUCCCGACUCACGAAGGGAUGUAUUUAUUAGAUAAAAAACCAAUGCACCCUCUGGGUGGUUUCUGGUGACUCAUAAUAACUGAUCGAAUCGCAUGUCCUUGCGGCGGCGAUAGUUC
Molecule: ribosomal RNA, 277 nt
Filed under: uncultured eukaryote
Lineage: Eukaryota
Description: partial 18S ribosomal RNA
Rfam family: Eukaryotic small subunit ribosomal RNA
Source: RNAcentral